Molecule: unclassified non-coding RNA, 2090 nt
Filed under: Mizuhopecten yessoensis (Yesso scallop)
Lineage: Eukaryota; Metazoa; Mollusca; Bivalvia; Pectinida; Pectinidae
Description: ornithine decarboxylase-like, transcript variant X2
Source: RNAcentral
CCUUGUGAUGCAGUAUAUAUAUACAGUCCUCGCUCAAUCUCUUAGUUAUUUACGACGUGAACAAUAAACGAGCUAUUUUUUAGGUUAUCAGCUGCCCUUAUAGACUGUGUUAAAUAGAGACAGUUCAAAGGUUGACAACCUAAAAACGUACGCAUAUCUAUCAGCAAGAGUGAUUCCUGUCUAUUAACUUCAUUGGUGUUAGCGCACAGCAGUUGAUACCAUCAUCAUCAUACCUUACUGGUUUGGAGGUCGUACAAAUCCGUGGAAAUCCAAUAUUUUAACAGAUAAUGGCAGAUAACGACUUGAAGAUCGUCGAUGUAAAACGUACCCGUGCAGACUACAUCAAAGAACAGGUUUCAUACCAUACAAAACUGGGAAUUGACGAUCCUCUGCUUAUCGUUGAUAUUGACAAAGUUGUGGAGAGGUACAGAAAAUGGUACAAUCUGUUUCCUAGGGUGGAGCUAUUUUACGCCUUAAAGUGCAACAGUAAUGAGAAGAUCAUUGACGUCCUUGUAAAACUGGGGAGCAGUUUUGACUGUGCGAGCAAGUCUGAGAUACAGCAGGUGUUAGAGCUCGGGAUCGAUCCGUCUCGCAUCAUCUACGCCAAUCCCUGUAAACAAAACUCACAUCUUACUUACGCCAAGGAGCACAAUGUAGAUCUGAUGACAUUUGACAGUGAGGAGGAAUUGAUCAAGAUAAAGAUGUUGUAUGGAUCAGCAAGAUUAGUGUUGCGAUUUCGAACAAAACAUUCUUUUAAAGUAACGUAUGACCUAGGACAGAAGUUUGGAUGUCUCUUCGAAGAAGCAAAGGAUUUAUUUAUAUCUGCAAAGACCAAAGGCUUGGACAUCGUUGGUGUGUGUUUUCAUGUUGGAAGUAACUGUCGAAAUGCCAACGCAUAUUCCUCGUCGAUCAAAGAAGCACGGAUGAUAUUUGACGUAGGACUACAGGUCGGCUUUGAUAUGAAAAUUCUUGACAUUGGAGGUGGAUACAGAGGCAGAGAUGUUGAUCAUCCGACUAUAGAAGAGAAUGCCGAAGUAAUAAACCAGUGUCUAGAUGAAUAUUUCCCUGAAACAGACGGAGUGACAAUAAUCGCUGAGCCAGGACGUUACCUUGUAGAAACUGCUGUCAGUGCUGCAGCCAGUAUCAUAGGUCGGAAGUUUGUCUAUGAUAAUGACAGAACCAGUCUUGAACAUGUUAUGUAUAACGUGAACAAUGGAGUAUAUGGAACGUUUCAUUGGGCAAAAGGCAGAGAUGCAAUUUUAAUUACACCCGUUCUUGGAAAGGCACAAUCCGAAAACCAUACGAGUACUGUGUGGGGUCCGACAUGUUGCGCUACUGAUUGCGUGGCCAUUGACAUCCCUCUACCACUGAUGGAGGUUGGAGAGUGGGUGCAUGUUCAUUACACUGGAGCCUACUCGUUAUCCUUCACUACAUCAUUCAACAGCAUGCCAAGCCCAAAGCUGUAUUACUUCUGUUCACGUGACACUUGGGAAUCCUUACAACAGUUGAAGGAUCAUUGACGAUCAGCUAGAUCGUGACAUAUCAGAUUAUAUCAGUAAAACUGGUACAUAUAACCGGAUACCACAAUACGGCUUGAUGUUUUGCUGGACCGAAAGGGUGGAGUUGUUUUACCGUGGGGUACACUUGACCAAUGGAUAGCAAUGGUGCUUGCGGGUUUUCUGGGACGACAUUUGCACCAUUUACAGGGCCCUUCGCGUUUAUUUCAAAAGGACAACAUCGUGAACUAACAAUGUACACAAAAUGUUGGACAAACUAUUGCACAAAUUUACUGUACCCUAUUGCGACUAUGUUUUAAUAUUUGAGAAAAUUAUCUUCUUUCUUUUUCGUUGAUUAAUAGAAUGAACAUAAUUGAUAUAAAGGUAAUACAUUGAAUUCAUCAAUUCAUGAAUAUGUUUAUCAACAUGUAAGUUUCAUCAAGAUUCGGCUUCAGUUUAUUGUACACUCAUACGGGGUCUGAGUUGACCAAUGUAAAAUUCACCACAUUCAAAAUAAAUUAUAGCAUCAAUUAUGUUUUUUAUUUACAUUUCAUCUUAGUGUUCAAAGUAACAUUCCACACCAUUCUUAAAGAU